RNAcentral lists this long non-coding RNA (2470 nucleotides) under Equus caballus (horse). RNAcentral describes it as "lncRNA (ENSECAG00000053654.1)". The record is from RNAcentral. Lineage: Eukaryota; Metazoa; Chordata; Mammalia; Perissodactyla; Equidae.
CCAGCCUUGUGUUUUGUAUGAAUUUGAAAAGCAUAGCAUCUUGCCGACAGGACAUAGGAUGACCCAAGUCUGGAAGAUGAUUAUUUCUAUUCCUCCUGGUCACAGUGAUUGGACCCAAGUUGGACCAAUCAGAAACCUACCUUGGAAUUUUUACAUGGAAAUCUGGUGGGGAAAGCUAUCUUGUUUUCCUUAGGUAUGGGAUUGUAAAUAUCUGAACCCCAGCUGCUGGUGAUUAUGGGGAGUGGGGUUUAGAAAAGACGUGUGCAGGGUGGGACAGGGGUUAUGGGAAGAAAGAACGUCCUCCCAUACUUCCAGGGAGACCUCUGCAUUCGCAUUUUCAGUUUUUAUCCGUAAGCCUUUUUAGUGGAAGCUUCUUUCCGAUUCUGACAAUGGGUUUAUGCUAAGUCCUUGUGGAGUGGAAUAGCCAAACCAGACUUUUUCCUUCUUUAGCUUAAGAAGCUGCCAGCUGUUCUUCAUUCUGGUGGGGAUAGAAGGUCAAUUUAAAGCAGAUGUUUAUGCACUCUCUUUAAUAUGCAGAAAUAUGCCAGAGACCCAGAUUUGAGAACUAUUGUGAUGAGGCCUUUGGUUUGACUUAGAGAAGCUACCUAUACACUCCCCGUUCUUAACAGAGAAGAGAAGGCCACUUUGCAUAUGGAGACCAGGGGUUUGCUGGGAGGGAAGACACCAACAUUCUCACAAUACUUGCCCCUGAUUAUUUUACUUAGGAAACUCUGCUGGAAAAGACUGGAGCAGACCUGGCCAAGAUUCACUGAAAGAGAAGAGCAAUGGGGCCGUUAAUUAAAGUAAUCAUAAGCAGAGAGAGAUACUAGACCAAUGGCCUCUUUCUGGCAUUGACUCAAAAAAAUAAAAGAAAAUAGAAAAAGGUAGUUCUAGGAAUCCAAGACCAAGAGAAUACCCAAGUUGAACUACUCCCAACCCAAGGAAGCUUAUGCCUGCACCAAGUGGGACCUUGCACGAUGAUUAUCACGCUUCUCUAUUCCACUUUCUAGGAUAAGGGAGAUAUCAGGAACCGGGCUAGGUGAGGUUGGGUGUCCGGACCAAGCAUUGGCACCCAAGAACAUCUAACAAGGCUCAAGGAGGCCAUAUCCAAGCCUAGAACCCACAUCAGAUCUACACACAAGGUCCGGCCCCAGGAACUUGAUCUUCUGAAGUGGUUGGAAAAGAGAGUUUUAACAGAUGGGGAUUCACCACCUUGAGAUGCUGAAAUGUCGUUGUCUCUGAGCUGGAGAGAUCUGGGUUCCUCUCUGGGCUCUGUCGCUCACCACCUCUGUGAACUUGGACGCGUUAAUUUACUCACCUCCCUGAGCUUCAGGGCCAUUAACUCUGAAAUGUGGACAUAAACACUUACUUGCCUAAGUUUGUUUUGAAGUUUGAGACCAUGUUUAUUCAGUUCUGGUCCAUAUUAGAUACUCAGUAGCUAUGAACUAUAAUUAUUCAUUGUAAUUCAGAGAAAGAGAGAGAUGACAGAGAGCCAACACUCUGUGAUCAUGGCGGACGUGAAAACCCUGAUGUCCACUGGGGUUACUUUGUCCUUUGAAAUUCAAAAUUGGCUUUACUGCCACCCCACCUAUGGGGGGAGAGCCAGCGUCGCUUCCCAUCUCUCUAGGACUCUGAGAGCCCUGAUGCAGAUUGGCUCUUCGGCUUCUCUGGUCGCUGUCUUUGUGUUUCUCCUUUCAUGGAGUUUCAGGGCCACCUCACUGUCUUGCAAGCACUGUCCACAAAGCAUGCAACCCCCAGUUUUCCACCUCCUCUGCUUCUCCUAAGACAAAGUUAUGUUCCUCAGAUUUUUGGCAAAGCUUUAAGGCAACAGAGGUUUAUGUGGCAAUACCCCCAAACCCAAGCUGGAAUAUUAAACAUCCCUGCUCCUAAAAAAAUGCCCUCUGACCCCCUGCCAUGGGGCACUUAUCACUGAUUACCUUUCUCUACAGGCUCCGUCUUUCUCUACAGGCUCCAUCUUUCUCUACAGGCUCCGUCUUUCUCUACAGGCUCCAUCUUUCUCUACAGGGUCCGUCUUUCUCUACAGGCUCCGUCUUUCUCUACAGGCUCCGUCUUUCUCUACAGGCUCCGUCUUUCUUUACAGGCUCUGUCUUUCUCUACAGGCUCCAUCUUUCUCUACAGGCUCCAUCUUUCCAUCUUGUUACUCCGUCUCCUUCUCCUUUCCAUCCCCUCUCCUCUUACCUCAGCCUAACCAUCCUCCCCGUAACAACCACCAAUUCCUGCCAACCAAACAGAGAGCACCUUUGUCCAAAGAGCCGUCUCCUUCCACAUGGAGAAUCUUUUCACACAAAAGUAACCCAUCAAGGCAUUUUCCUCAUCAAACAUAGUUCUCACCUGAAGAGGCUCUCUGGAGCCAGCUGUUGAAAUAACAUUUUUUUGUUCCACAACAUGGGGUAACUCAGAAAUACAAAUGACUCUGGGUCAGGACUGCCAUAUAAGGUUUUGCAGGUUG